GUUUGCACAGUUCUUUUAUACACAUUACCUCCUUUUGACUCCCCAAAGUCCCUGAGAGGUGGCCAGAACAUAUACAGUUCUGAUUGUAUAAAGAAACAAAGGUCCUGAGAGUGGGAGAGACAUCAGGGCCCAUGGGCAAGAAAAUGGGGCUUUUACACCUGCACCAGCCCUCUUGACUCCAGGCUGGCAUUCCUUCCACACCCUCUCACCACUUGCUACCUUAUAGGGUCCACCACUACCAGCAGAAACUCCACAGUCAAGCCUGGCACCAGCUAGGAUGCUGAUAACGUUGACAACAAAAUGAUCCUGUGAGUUCUGUCAAGAGCCGGAAGCUGAGCACUAGCGAGAUCUGAACAUCUCUGAUGGUCCUCAGUGGCCCCUCGCUGAGGUGAGCCCACCUGGUGGAAGCCUACCUACCAACCUGGUGAGCCUACCACACGUGGAAGUUCAGCAAGACUCAAAGAGAAUAUGAGAAAGAAGGCAGAUUUCUGGGAAACACGAGUGACCAAGCAACCCUAUCACAGACUUUCUUCCUCAUGUUACGUCCCUGUGUUGGCCACCUGCUUAUGCUGCAAAUGACAGCUCAGAAGGAGAAGGAGAAAGGGAGAGAGAGGACCCCCAGAGCUCCCUUUUAUCUUAGCCCUUCCUCACCCAGCAGGAAACUGAAGCUAGCACAGUGGCACACACCUCCUGGAAGAAUGACAAAGCUUCUUUCCUGAAUAUCACAUCAACGGUGAGCAGCAAACAACAAAGCUCUGAGCACAUUGCAUCUCCCAUAUGCCCCUGGGCCCCUCCUUGCAUAUCCAUCAACCGAGACCCCAUCCCUCUGGCACACGCGGCCCAGCUCACCACCGCCUCUAACAGGUGUCCUCCAACACUACUAGCAAAGUAUAGCUACUACCCCAGAACCAAGUGUUGAGAAGCCAGCAGCAUCCAGAACUCAUUAGCGAGGAGUGCAGCUAAAAUAAUGGGUUUCAUGAACUUUCUGUGACCAGAGGGCUGGAUCAGAGGCAUCUGAGCCCUAGCAGAGAGUAGCCGCUUAGGGCUAACCCACUCACCGCCAGCUUCGGGCUGCUCUGCUGGGAAGAUGCU
Molecule: long non-coding RNA, 1092 nt
Organism: Canis lupus familiaris (dog)
Lineage: Eukaryota; Metazoa; Chordata; Mammalia; Carnivora; Canidae
Exons: 4
Source: RefSeq, a predicted model, not a curated record